This 253-nucleotide ribosomal RNA is filed under the name uncultured bacterium. Its description in RNAcentral is "partial 16S ribosomal RNA". It matches the Rfam family "Bacterial small subunit ribosomal RNA", at positions 524 to 776 of the family's 1533-position model. The record is from RNAcentral.
UACGAAGGGGGCUAGCGUUGCUCGGAAUCACUGGGCGUAAAGCGCACGUAGGCGGAUCUUUAAGUCAGGGGUGAAAUCCUGGAGCUCAACUCCAGAACUGCCUUUGAUACUGGGGAUCUCGAGUCCGGGAGAGGCGAGUGGAACUCCGAGUGUAGAGGUGAAAUUCGUAGAUAUUCGGAAGAACACCAGUGGCGAAGGCGGCUCACUGGCCCGGUACUGACGCUGAGGUGCGAAAGCGUGGGGAGCAAACAGG